GACACGGUCCAGACUCCUACGGGAGGCAGCAGUAGGGAAUAUUGCUCAAUGGGGGAAACCCUGAAGCAGCAACGCCGCGUGGAGGAUGAAGGUUUUAGGAUUGUAAACUCCUUUUGUUAGAGAAGAUAAUGACGGUAUCUAACGAAUAAGCACCGGCUAACUCCGUGCCAGCAGCCGCGGUAAUACGGAGGGUGCAAGCGUUACUCGGAAUCACUGGGCGUAAAGAGCGCGUAGGCGGGAUAGUCAGUCAGGUGUGAAAUCCUAUGGCUUAACCAUAGAACUGCAUUUGAAACUACUAUUCUAGAGUGUGGGAGAGGUAGGUGG
RNAcentral lists this ribosomal RNA (324 nucleotides) under uncultured Helicobacter sp. Its description in RNAcentral is "bacterial SSU rRNA". It matches the Rfam family "Bacterial small subunit ribosomal RNA", at positions 323 to 664 of the family's 1533-position model. Lineage: Bacteria; Pseudomonadati; Campylobacterota; Epsilonproteobacteria; Campylobacterales; Helicobacteraceae. The record is from RNAcentral.